RNAcentral lists this ribosomal RNA (502 nucleotides) under uncultured bacterium. Its description in RNAcentral is "partial 16S ribosomal RNA". It matches the Rfam family "Bacterial small subunit ribosomal RNA", at positions 899 to 1397 of the family's 1533-position model. The record is from RNAcentral.
ACUCAAAUGAAUAGACGGGGACCCGCACAAGCGGUGGAACAUGUGGUUUAAUUCGAGGCAACGCGAAGAACCUUACCAGGAUUUGACAUGCCCUCUAUGGAAAUCAGAAACGAUUUCCUUCACUUCGGGUGGGAGGAGCACAGGUGCUGCAUGGCUGUCGUCAGCUCGUGUCGUGAGAUGUUGGGUUAAGUCCCGCAACGAGCGCAACCCUCAUUCUCUGUUGCUAACAGGUUAAGCUGAGCACUCUGAGAAAACUGCCGGUGAUAAGCCGGAGGAAGGUGGGGAUGACGUCAAGUCCUCAUGGCCCUUACAUCCUGGGCUACACACGUGUUACAAUGGCGGUGACAAUGGGCAGCGAACCCGCAAGGGGGAGCUAAUCUCCAAAAGCCGCCUCAGUUCAGAUUGUACUCUGCAACUCGAGUGCAUGAAGCUGGAAUCGCUAGUAAUCGUGGAUCAGAACGCCACGGUGAAUACGUUCCCGGGUCUUGUACACACCGCCCGU